Molecule: long non-coding RNA, 760 nt
Filed under: Sorghum bicolor (sorghum)
Lineage: Eukaryota; Viridiplantae; Streptophyta; Magnoliopsida; Poales; Poaceae
Description: long non-coding RNA (SBIC_LNC008208)
Source: RNAcentral
UUGCAGAUUUUCAAAUAAAACUCAGAGAUUCCUUGUAUGACUCUCUCAAAUCUCUCUUUUGUGGUAUUUCUAGAUCCUUUCCAAGGAAGUAAUGGUAUAUGCCUUCUCUCAAAGUAUGUGGUGUUUUUGGUAUGAGGCAUAGUGAUAUUGCCUUCUCUCUCACCCAACAAUAAUAAGGUUUUGAUACCUAGAGCUCAUAGGUGGGAGACAGAUAAUACAUACUUACAAAACAUUUAUUGCAUAGUCAAACCAUGGAUCCAGAAGAACAAGUCAAUAAGUCAAAUCAAGAUGUGCAUGUGUGGUGAGUGAAUGGUGUAUGGUGAUGAUGAUGAUAACAAUGGUGAAAGUCUAAUUCUACUUUUGCUCUUUUAAGGGGAUACAUACCUUUCUUGCACUUUGAAGCUUUUUGAGGAGAAUGAGAUGCUCUAUAUUUUUCUUUUUCUUUUCUCUCAGGUGGGUAUCUUGUACCCCUAAUUCUACUAUCGGACACUUGUCCAUUUUUACCUCUCGUCUCACUUUUUCUUUUCUUCGAGGUUCCGGGCACUUUCCCCUUUUUAUUUCCUCAUAUUCUCUUUUUUUAGAGCACUCAUCUCCUGAAAUAAUAUAGCAAGUGGUAGUAACCAAGAUAACUCGAGCAUUUAUUUCAUACGGAAAAACAUAAAUGUUUUUGGCUAUUCUCUCCCGGAUUAGGAGUAGAAUACUUUUGGGUGGCUCUGGAGAUGGAAGUGAGUGGAUGUAUGUGGAUGCGUACUUCUGGAGU